AUUGAACGCUGGCGGCAUGCCUUACACAUGCAAGUCGAACGGCAGCACGGGAGCAAUCCUGGUGGCGAGUGGCGACCGGGUGAGUGAAGUAUCGGAACGUGCCCAGUCGUGGGGGAUAACGUAGCGAAAGUUACGCUAAUACCGCAUACGAUCUAUGGAUGAAAGCGGGGGAUCGCAAGACCUCGCGCGAUUGGAGCGGCCGAUAUCAGAUUAGGUAGUUGGUGGGGUAAAGGCUCACCAAGCCGACCAUCUGUAGCUGGUCUGAGAGGACGACCAGCCACACUGGGACUGAGAAACGGCCCAGACUCCUACGGGAGGCAGCAGUGGGGAAUUUUGGACAAUGGGCGAAAGCCUGAUCCAGCCAUGCCGCGUGCAGGAUGAAGGCCUUCGGGUUGUAAACUGCUUUUGUACGGAACGAAAAGGUUUGGCCUAAUAAGCUGAGCUCAUGACGGUACCGUAAGAAUAAGCACCGGCUAACUACGUGCCAGCCGCCGCCGUAA
Molecule: ribosomal RNA, 500 nt
Filed under: uncultured bacterium
Lineage: Bacteria
Description: partial 16S ribosomal RNA
Rfam family: Bacterial small subunit ribosomal RNA
Source: RNAcentral